Molecule: ribosomal RNA, 270 nt
Filed under: uncultured archaeon
Lineage: Archaea
Description: partial 16S ribosomal RNA
Rfam family: Archaeal small subunit ribosomal RNA
Source: RNAcentral
CUGCAGCUCAAGUGGUAGCCGCUAUUAUUGGGCCUAAAACGUUCGUAGCCGGUUUAGUAAAUGCUUGGGUAAAUUGUGUCGCUUAACGAUACGAAUACCGGGUAGACUGCUAAACUUGGGACCGGGAGAGGCUAGAGGUACUCCUGGGGUAGAGGUGAAAUUCUGUAAUCCUGGGGGGACCACCAGUGGCGAAGGCGUCUAGCUAGAACGGGUCUGACGGUGAGGGACGAAGCCCUGGGGCGCAAAACGGAUUAGAUACCCGAGUAGUCC